Scleropages formosus (Asian bonytongue) is the source of this 70-nucleotide small nucleolar RNA. Its record names the gene SNORD58. It matches the Rfam family "Small nucleolar RNA SNORD58". From Rfam's summary of the family: snoRNA U58 is found in introns 1, 3 and 6 of the ribosomal protein RPL17 gene in humans. U58 is a member of the C/D class of snoRNA which contain C (UGAUGA) and D (CUGA) box motifs. The record is from Ensembl. Lineage: Eukaryota; Metazoa; Chordata; Actinopteri; Osteoglossiformes; Osteoglossidae.
UUGCAGUGAUGACUAUCUUACGACACCUUUGGAAAUAACCAUGAAAAAAAAUUGUGAAAAUCUGAGCAAC